GAUGAACGCUAGCGGCAGGCUUAAUACAUGCAAGUCAAGGGGGUAGCAAUACUACCGGCGCACGGGUGAGUAACACGUACAUAACAUACCAUAUACUGGGGUAUAGCUUUGGGAAACUGAAGGUAAUCCCCCAUAACAUUGCGAGAGGGCAUCUGAUUGCAAUUAAAGUUUCGACGGUAUAUGAUUGAUGUGCGUUUUGAUUAGCUUGUUGGUAGGUAACGGCCUACCAAGGCGACGAUCAAUAGCUGGCGUGAGAGCGCGACCAGCCACACUGGAACUGAGACACGGUCCAGACUCCUACGGGAGGCAGCAGUAGGGAAUAUUGGACAAAUGGACGCAAGUCUGAACCAGCCAUCCCCGCGUGCAGGACGACGGCCCUAUGGUUGUAACUGCUUUGUACAGG
This 403-nucleotide ribosomal RNA is filed under the name uncultured bacterium. RNAcentral's name for it is "bacterial SSU rRNA". It matches the Rfam family "Bacterial small subunit ribosomal RNA", at positions 28 to 443 of the family's 1533-position model. The record is from RNAcentral.